RNAcentral lists this ribosomal RNA (306 nucleotides) under uncultured bacterium. Its description in RNAcentral is "partial 16S ribosomal RNA". It matches the Rfam family "Bacterial small subunit ribosomal RNA", at positions 505 to 807 of the family's 1533-position model. The record is from RNAcentral.
GACAGCAGCAGCCGCGGUGAGACAGAGGAUGCAAGCAUUAUCCGGAAUGAUUGGGCGUAAAGGGCUCGCAGGCGGUUUCUUAAGUCUGAUGUGAAAGCCCCCGGCUCAACCGGGGAGGGUCAUUGGAAACUGGGAAACUUGAGUGCAGAAGAGGAGAGUGGAAUUCCACGUGUAGCGGUGAAAUGCGUAGAGAUGUGGAGGAACACCAGUGGCGAAGGCGACUCUCUGGUCUGUAACUGACGCUGAGGAGCGAAAGCGUGGGGAGCGAACAGGAUUAGAUACCCCCGUAGUCCCUGUCUCUUAUAC